GAUGAACGCUGGCGGCGUGCUUAACACAUGCAAGUCGAACGGAAAGGCCCAAGCUUGCUUGGGUGCUCGAGUGGCGAACGGGUGAGUAACACGUGGGUGAUCUGCCCUGCACUUUGGGAUAAGCCUGGGAAACUGGGUCUAAUACCGGAUAGGACCAUCGUUUAGUGUGGGUGGUGGAAAGUUUUUGGGUGUGGGUUGAGCUCGCGGCCUAUCGGCUUGUUGGGGGGGUAAUGGCUAACCAAGGCGUCGACGGGUAGCCGGCCUGUGAGAGUGUCCGUCAACAUUGGGACUGAGGGACGGCCCAGGCUCCUACGGGAGGCAGCAGGGGGGAAGAUUGAACAAUGGGCGCAAGCCUGGUGCAGCGACGCCGCGUGGUGGAUGACGGCCUUCGGGUUGUAAACGCCUUUCGCCAAGGACGAAGCGUUUUGUGACGGUACUUGGAGAAGAAGCACCGGCUAACUACGUG
Molecule: ribosomal RNA, 466 nt
Filed under: uncultured bacterium
Lineage: Bacteria
Description: partial 16S ribosomal RNA
Rfam family: Bacterial small subunit ribosomal RNA
Source: RNAcentral